GACGAACGCUGGCGGCGUGCUUAACACAUGCAAGUCGAACGGAAAGGCCUGCUUUCCCUUGUGGAUUGCGGGUACUCGAGUGGCGAACGGGUGAGUAACACGUGAGUGAUCUGCCCCCAACUUGGGUAUAAGCCUGGGAAACUGGGUCUAAUUCCCGAUAGGACUGCAGGGUGGUGCCUGUGGUGGAAAACGAUUUUCUAGUGGUUGGGGAUGAGCUCGCGGCCUAUCAGCUUGUUGGUGGGGUAAUGGCCUACCAAGGCGGCGACGGGUAGCCGGCCUGAGAGGGUGGACGGCAACAUUGGGACUGGGAUACGGCCCAGACUCCUACGGGAGGCAGCAGUGGGGAAUAGUGCACAAUGGGCGGAAGCCUGAUGCAGCGACGCCGCGUGGGGGAUGACGGCCUUCGGGUUGUAAACUCCUUUCGACCGCGAGGAAGCCACCUGGUUGGAAGGGUGGUGACGGUAGUGGUAGAAGAAGCACCGGCUAACUACGUG
RNAcentral lists this ribosomal RNA (494 nucleotides) under uncultured bacterium. RNAcentral's name for it is "partial 16S ribosomal RNA". It matches the Rfam family "Bacterial small subunit ribosomal RNA", at positions 28 to 507 of the family's 1533-position model. The record is from RNAcentral.